UACGAAGGGGGCUAGCGUUGUUCGGAUUUACUGGGCGUAAAGCGCACGUAGGCGGAUUGUUAAGUCAGGGGUGAAAUCCUGGAGCUCAACUCCAGAACUGCCUUUGAUACUGGCAAUCUAGAGUCCGGAAGAGGUGAGUGGAACUCCUAGUGUAGAGGUGGAAUUCGUAGAUAUUAGGAAGAACACCAGUGGCGAAGGCGGCUCACUGGUCCGGAACUGACGCUGAGGUGCGAAAGCGUGGGGAGCGAACAGG
RNAcentral lists this ribosomal RNA (253 nucleotides) under uncultured bacterium. RNAcentral's name for it is "partial 16S ribosomal RNA". It matches the Rfam family "Bacterial small subunit ribosomal RNA", at positions 524 to 776 of the family's 1533-position model. The record is from RNAcentral.